CAUCCAGAGAACUUAGCAGAGAUGCUUUGGUGCCUUCGGGAACUCUGAGACAGGUGCUGCAUGGCUGUCGUCAGCUCGUGUUGUGAAAUGUUGGGUUAAGUCCCGNAACGAGCGCAACCCUUAUCCUUUGUUGCCAGCGGUUCGGCCGGGAACUCAAAGGAGACUGCCGGUGAUAAACCGGAGGAAGGUGGGGAUGACGUCAAGUCAUCAUGGCCCUUACGGCCAGGGCUACACACGUGCUACAAUGGCGCAUACAAAGAGAAGCGACCUCGCGAGAGCAAGCGGACCUCAUAAAGUGCGUCGUAGUCCGGAUUGGAGUCUGCAACUCGACUCCAUGAAGUCGGAAUCGCUAGUAAUCGUAGAUCAGAAUGCUACGGUGAAUACGUUCCCGGGCCUUGUACACACCGCCCGUCACACCAUGGGAGUGGGUUGCAAAAGAAGUAGGUAGCUUAACCUUCGGGAGGGCGCUUACCACUUUGUGAUUCAUGACUGGGGUGAAGUCGUAACAAGGUAGGCGUAGCGAG
Molecule: ribosomal RNA, 524 nt
Filed under: uncultured bacterium
Lineage: Bacteria
Description: bacterial SSU rRNA
Rfam family: Bacterial small subunit ribosomal RNA
Source: RNAcentral